UCUCAGGCUGUGACCCUCUACAGGGAGGCGCUUUCUGUUGUCUGAAAGAAAGGAAAGUGCAUUCUUUUAGAGUGUUAACUGUUUGAGA
Molecule: microRNA precursor, 88 nt
Filed under: Nomascus leucogenys (northern white-cheeked gibbon)
Lineage: Eukaryota; Metazoa; Chordata; Mammalia; Primates; Hylobatidae
Description: mir-515 microRNA precursor family
Rfam family: mir-515 microRNA precursor family
Source: Rfam by way of RNAcentral